This 253-nucleotide ribosomal RNA is filed under the name uncultured bacterium. Its description in RNAcentral is "partial 16S ribosomal RNA". It matches the Rfam family "Bacterial small subunit ribosomal RNA", at positions 524 to 776 of the family's 1533-position model. The record is from RNAcentral.
UACAGAGGGUGCAAGCGUUAUCCGGAAUCACUGGGUUUAAAGGGUGCGUAGGCGGCUUUAUAAGUCAGAAGUGAAAGAUUUGAGCUUAACUGAGAAAUUGCUUUUGAUACUGUAGAGCUAGAAUCAGGUUGAGGUCAGCGGAAUGUGGCAUGUAGCGGUGAAAUGCAUAGAUAUGCCAUAGAACACCAAUUGCGAAGGCAGCUGGCUGGGCUUUGAUUGACGCUGAGGGACGAAAGCGUGGGGAGCGAACAGG